Molecule: ribosomal RNA, 1148 nt
Filed under: uncultured organism
Description: bacterial SSU rRNA
Rfam family: Bacterial small subunit ribosomal RNA
Source: RNAcentral
UCAGAACGAACGCUGGCGGCGUGCUUAAUACAUGCAAGUCGUGCGAGAAAGUCACCUUCGGGUGGUGAGUAAAGCGGCGAACGGGUGAGUAACACGUAAGAAACCUGCCCCUAAAUCCGGAAUAACAUUGCUAACGCGGUGCUAAUACCGGAUGUGGUCUCCAGUUUGCAUGAACAGGAGAUUAAAGGUGACCUCUACUUGUAAGUUAUCGUUUAGGGAUGGUCUUGCGGACCAUUAGCUUGUUGGCGGGGUAACGGCCCACCAAGGCUGCGAUGGUUAGCCGGCUUAAGAGGGUGAUCGGCCACAUUGGGACUGAGAUACGGCCCAGACUCCUACGGGAGGCAGCAGUAGGGAAUUUUGCGCAAUGGACGAAAGUCUGACGCAGCAACGCCGCGUGAGCGAUGAAGGUUUUCGGAUUGUAAAGCUCUGUUGAGUGGGAAGAAAACUCUCCGGGAUAAUACCCCGGAGACUUGACGGUACCACUCGAGGAAGCCCCGGCUAAAUACGUGCCAGCAGCCGCGGUAAUACGUAUGGGGCAAGCGUUGUUCGGAAUCACUGGGCGUAAAGGGAGUGUAGGCGGAAAGGUAAGUUAGAAGUGUAAUCCACGGGCUUAACCCGUGACUCGCUUUUAAUACUGCUUUUCUUGAGUAUGGGAGAGGGAGAUGGAAUUCCAGGUGUAGCGGUGGAAUGCGUAGAUAUCUGGAAGAACACCAGUAGCGAAGGCGGUCUCCUGGCCCAAUACUGACGCUGAGGCUCGAAAGCGUGGGGAGCGAACAGGAUUAGAUACCCUGGUAGUCCACGCCGUAAACGAUGGACACUAGAUGUUGGCCUCUUCGGGGGUCGGUGUCGUAGCUAACGCGUUAAGUGUCCCGCCUGGGAAGUACGCUCGCAAGAGUGAAACUCAAAGGAAUUGACCGGGGGCCCGCACAAGCGGUGGAGCAUGUUGCUUUAAUUCGAUGCAACGCGAAGAACCUUACCUGGACUUGACAUGGGGGUGAAAGUUUUCAGAGAUGAAAACCCUUCCUUCGGGAACGCCCUACACAGGUGCUGCAUGGUUGUCGUCAGCUCGUGUCGUGAGAUGUUGGGUUAAGUCCCGCAACGAGCGCAACCCUUGUCCUUAGUUGCCAGCGGGUCAUGCCGGGAACUCU